Molecule: transfer RNA, 74 nt
Filed under: Blattella germanica (German cockroach)
Lineage: Eukaryota; Metazoa; Arthropoda; Insecta; Blattodea; Blattellidae
Description: tRNA-Ile (AAT) (tRNA-Ile-AAT-2 1 to 6)
Rfam family: tRNA
About the family: Transfer RNA (tRNA) molecules are approximately 80 nucleotides in length. Their secondary structure includes four short double-helical elements and three loops (D, anti-codon, and T loops). Further hydrogen bonds mediate the characteristic L-shaped molecular structure. tRNAs have two regions of fundamental functional importance: the anti-codon, which is responsible for specific mRNA codon recognition, and the 3' end, to which the tRNAs corresponding amino acid is attached (by aminoacyl-tRNA synthetases). tRNAs cope with the degeneracy of the genetic code in two manners: having more than one tRNA (with a specific anti-codon) for a particular amino acid; and 'wobble' base-pairing, i.e. permitting non-standard base-pairing at the 3rd anti-codon position.
Source: RNAcentral
GGCCCGUUAGCUCAGUUGGUUAGAGCGUGGUGCUAAUAACGCCAAGGUCGUGGGUUCGAUCCCCCCACGGGCCA